RNAcentral lists this ribosomal RNA (246 nucleotides) under uncultured bacterium. RNAcentral's name for it is "partial 16S ribosomal RNA". It matches the Rfam family "Bacterial small subunit ribosomal RNA", at positions 796 to 1041 of the family's 1533-position model. The record is from RNAcentral.
CACGCCGUAAACGAUGGAUGCUAGCUGUACGGAGUAUCGACCCUCUGUGUAGCGAAGCUAACGCGUUAAGCAUCCCGCCUGUGGAGUACGGCCGCAAGGCUAAAACAUAAAGGAAUUGACGGGGACCCGCACAAGCGGUGGAGCGUGUUGUUUAAUUCGAUGAUAAGCGAAGAACCUUACCAAGGUUUGACAUCCUACUAAUCUUUCCGAAAGGAAGGAGUGCCUUCGGGCCGUAGUGACAGGUGA